RNAcentral lists this ribosomal RNA (253 nucleotides) under uncultured bacterium. RNAcentral describes it as "partial 16S ribosomal RNA". It matches the Rfam family "Bacterial small subunit ribosomal RNA", at positions 524 to 776 of the family's 1533-position model. The record is from RNAcentral.
UACGUAGGGUGCAAGCGUUAAUCGGAAUUACUGGGCGUAAAGCGUGCGCAGGCGGUUAUGCAAGACAGAUGUGAAAUCCCCGGGCUCAACCUGGGAACUGCAUUUGUGACUGCAUGGCUAGAGUGCGGCAGAGGGGGAUGGAAUUCCGCGUGUAGCAGUGAAAUGCGUAGAUAUGCGGAGGAACACCGAUGGCGAAGGCAGCCCCCUGGGAUAACACUGACGCUCAUGCACGAAAGCGUGGGGAGCAAACAGG